AAUUGUUAAAGAGCCGCGGUAUAUUGACCGUGCAAAGGUAGCAUAAUCAUUUGGGGUUUAAUUGGAACCUGGUAUGAAUGGUUGGACAAAGGAAAAGCUGUCUUUAUAAUAAAAAUUGAAAUUUACCUUUAAGUGAAAAGGCUUAAAUGUUUCAAAGGGACGAUAAGACCCUAUAAAGCAUUUCGUUGGGGCGAUGAAAGUAUAAUUAGUAACUGCUGAAAUAGAAGAUUCUAUAAUGAAAUGAUCCUAUUUAAAGAUUAAAAGGCUAAGUUACUUUAGGGAUAACAGCGUUAUUUCUUUUGAGAGUUCAUAUCGAAAAAGAAGAUUGCGACCUCGAUGUUGAAUUAAAAUGUCUAUAUAAUGAAGGUGUUAUAUAAGAGGGUCUGUUCGACCUUUAAAUUUUU
RNAcentral lists this ribosomal RNA (404 nucleotides) under Actaeodes cf. tomentosus LMT-2014. RNAcentral's name for it is "partial 16S large subunit ribosomal RNA". It matches the Rfam family "Bacterial large subunit ribosomal RNA", at positions 1915 to 2597 of the family's 2925-position model. Lineage: Eukaryota; Metazoa; Arthropoda; Malacostraca; Decapoda; Xanthidae. The record is from RNAcentral.